Molecule: ribosomal RNA, 497 nt
Filed under: uncultured bacterium
Lineage: Bacteria
Description: partial 16S ribosomal RNA
Rfam family: Bacterial small subunit ribosomal RNA
Source: RNAcentral
GAUGAACGCUGGCGGCGUGCCUAAUACAUGCAAGUCGAGCGAACGGACGAGAAGCUUGCUUCUCUGAUGUUAGCGGCGGACGGGUAAGUAACACGUGGAUAACCUACCUAUAAGACUGGGAUAACUUCGGGAAACCGGAGCUAAUACCGGAUAAUAUUUUGAACCGCAUGGUUCAAAAGUGAAAGACGGUCUUGCUGUCACUUAUAGAUGGAUCCGCGCUGCAUUAGCUAGUUGGUAAGGUAACGGCUUACCAAGGCAACGAUGCAUAGCCGACCUGAGAGGGUGAUCGGCCACACUGGAACUGAGACACGGUCCAGACUCCUACGGGAGGCAGCAGUAGGGAAUCUUCCGCAAUGGGCGAAAGCCUGACGGAGCAACGCCGCGUGAGUGAUGAAGGUCUUCGGAUCGUAAAACUCUGUUAUUAGGGAAGAACAUAUGUGUAAGUAACUGUGCACAUCUUGACGUUACCUAAUCAGAAAGCCACGGCUAACUACGUG